Pelobates cultripes (western spadefoot toad) is the source of this 208-nucleotide non-coding RNA. NCBI's taxonomy places the organism in Eukaryota, Metazoa, Chordata, Amphibia, Anura, Pelobatidae. The record is from the annotation of a GenBank genome assembly.
UAGCUUAAUGAAGCAGUUUUGGUGUAUAGAACAUGCCCCUGCAGCCCCACUGCUCAAUCCUCUGCCAUUUAGGAGUUAAAUCCCUUUGUUUAUGAACCCUAGUCACACCUCCCUGCAUGUGACUUGCACAGCCUUCCAUAAACACUUCCUGUAAAGAGAGCCCUAUUUAGGCUUUCUUUAUUGCAAGUUCUGUUUAAUUAAGAUUUUC